RNAcentral lists this ribosomal RNA (450 nucleotides) under uncultured bacterium. Its description in RNAcentral is "partial 16S ribosomal RNA". It matches the Rfam family "Bacterial small subunit ribosomal RNA", at positions 354 to 796 of the family's 1533-position model. The record is from RNAcentral.
GUGGGGAAUCUUCCGCAAUGGACGAAAGUCUGACGGAGCAACGCCGCGUGAGUGAUGAAGGUUUUCGGACUGUAAAGCUCUGUUGUUUAGGACGAAAGUGCCUGUUGCAAAUAGUUACAGGUAUUGACGGUACUGAACGAGGAAGCCACGGCUAACUACGUGCCAGCAGCCGCGGUAAUACGUAGGUGGCAAGCGUUGUCCGGAAUUAUUGGGCGUAAAGAGCAUGUAGGCGGGAAUCUAAGUCUGUUGUGAAAAUGCGGGGCUCAACCCCGUAUUGCGAUGGAAACUGGGUUUCUUGAGUGCAGGAGAGGAAAGGGGAAUUCCCAGUGUAGCGGUGAAAUGCGUAGAUAUUGGGAGGAACACCAGUGGCGAAGGCGCCUUUCUGGACUGUGUCUGACGCUGAGAUGCGAAAGCCAGGGUAGCGAACGGGAUUAGAUACCCGUGUAGUCC